Molecule: ribosomal RNA, 406 nt
Filed under: uncultured bacterium
Lineage: Bacteria
Description: bacterial SSU rRNA
Rfam family: Bacterial small subunit ribosomal RNA
Source: RNAcentral
UAGGGAAUAUUGGGCAAUGGAGGAAACUCUGACCCAGCAACGCCGCGUGAAGGAUGAAGGUUUUCGGAUUGUAAACUUCUGUUAUGAGAGAAAAAUGAAUGAUGGUAUCUCAUGAGUAAGCCCCGGCUAACUAUGUGCCAGCAGCCGCGGUAAUACAUAGGGGGCAAGCGUUGUCCGGAAUCACUGGGCGUAAAGAGAGCGUAGGCGGUUUUGUAAGUCAAUGGUGAAAGCCCGAAGCUCAACUUCGGAAUUGCCGUUGAUACUGCUUAACUUGAGUAUGGGAGAGGAAGAUGGAAUUCCUAGUGUAGCGGUGGAAUGCGUAGAUAUUAGGAGGAACAUCGGUGGCGAAAGCGAUCUUCUGGAACAUUACUGACGCUGAGGCUCGAAAGCGUGGGGAGCAAACAGG